Molecule: long non-coding RNA, 1479 nt
Filed under: Ficedula albicollis (Collared flycatcher)
Lineage: Eukaryota; Metazoa; Chordata; Aves; Passeriformes; Muscicapidae
Description: lncRNA (ENSFALG00000017363.2)
Source: RNAcentral
AGGAACUGGAUUUUGGUUUGAGUGCAUCAAAUAUCAUCACUUUGAGUCACAACACGUCAGUGCUGUGAGCAAGAUGCUCAGGGGCAGAUCAGGGAAUUACAGAGUCAUGGAAUCAUGGAAUUACAGAAUCAUGGGAUCAUGGAAUUACAGAGUCAGGGAUCAUGGAAUCACAGAGUCAUGGAAUCAUGGGAUCACGGAAUUACAGAGUCAGGGGUCAUGGGAUCAGGGAAUUACAAAAUCAUGGAAUCAUGGGAUCAGGGAAUUACAGAGUCACAGGGUCAGGGGGUCAUGGGAUUACAGAGUCGGGGGUCAUGGAAUUACAGAGUCAUGGAAUCAUGGGAUCACAGAAUUAGAGAGUCAGGGGUCAUGGAGUCACAGGAUCAUGGAGCCAUGGAAUCACAGAGUCACGGGAUCAUGGAAUCACAGAGUCAUGGAAAUAAUGGAAUCAUGAAAUUACAGAGUCAUGGAAAUCACGGAAUCACAGAGUCAUGGAAUCAUGGGAUCACAGUCACAGAAAUCACGGAAUCACAGAACCACAGAAAUCCCAGAACCACAAGGUUGGAAGAGACCUUUAAGAUCAUUGGGUCCAACCCAUGCCCUAGCACCACCUCAACUAAUCCACCCCGGCCCAAGAGGAUCUCCCAAAUCCAUCCUGACCCAAAAGGAUCAUCCCAAAUCCAUCCUGACCCAACAGGAUCAUCCCAAAUCCAUCCUGACCCAACAGGAUCAUCCCAAAUACAUCCUGACACAACAUGAUCCAUCCUGACCCAACAGAACAAUCCCAAAUCCAUCCUGACCCAACAGAACAAUCCCAAAUCCAUCCUGGCCCAACAGGAUCCAUCCUGACCCAACAGGAUCCCCCAAACUCAUCCUGGCUCAACAGGAUCACCCCAAAUCCCUCUCUGCCCGUGCUGUGGGAGGCACUUUCGUCACCCAGGAAUGCACCACGACCUGAUCCACGUGGGAAUCACCACAGACAGGAGCUGCUGGAUUCCUCGUGGAGGCAGCGAGCCCAGAAAUCCUCCACAAGACUCCUCCUCCUCCACCAAAAGUAGUUUUUCCUUGGAAAAGCCUCCCCGGGCCAAGGGAAAGGUUCAACUCCCUGUGAAAUGGCACCAAUGUCCCAGAAGAUGUAAAAAUGCCCUCACCCCUGUGGGGGUGGGCUUUGGUGAACACCUUUCCUGAAAGCCUUCCAAGAAAAAAAUCCAAUUUUAUACUGCCUCCUCACUUUAAUCACCCCCCCAAUCUCGUUUGCAAAUCGAAAAAAGACAACUAUUUUGGGCACCCCCAAGGCAGAGCUCUGAGCCCCUUCCUCAAAAUAAUCCCUGCCAAGUCUCACAGUCCUCCUCCCCCUGCGAGAACAGACUCCACUCCCACCUGGAACCCCCCUCAAAAUCCCACACCACCCCUCAGAAUAAAGUGCCCAAAUCACCUCCCCCCCAAGCUGCCCCCCCCCCCCCCCCCCCCCCCCCCCCCCCC